GCGCGCGCAGGAACUUGGAUCUCAACCCCAGGGCUAGGUGCCUCCUCCCGCUGCUUUCCGCCAGCUGCGGGGUGUGAGAUUAAUCCCCGCCGAUUAGCGCCAGGUGUACUAAUCCCUGGAUGGUUCCCUGACCAGAUGAAACAUCAGCCGAUGUUCUAAUGCCCGUCCCCUGGGCACUGUCCCCGAGAGGGAAAACCUGUUUUCUGACCCCGGCUCUAGUCGGCCUCUGGAGAUCUGCAGCUGGGUUAUUUUACUUCUGAAACGGACGACACCUGCCCCGCGCACCCCAGCGGCUCCUCCACACGGAGAGAUGGUGUCAGUCAAAGGCCGUCUAGAUGACGAGUUUAUGAAAUUGUUCCUGGCCCGUGCCGGGCACGACCUUGCAGAGAGCCCAGAAGAUGAAACCCCAGCCCUGCCAGGAGCUCACCUGCUAAUUAGGAGGACAACGAAUCACCUCACCUCCCUAGACUUUGCUUCUCCUUUAUUCAGUGAGGGAUUGGACUAGCUGGUCCUUAAGGACUUUUCAGAAAGUCUGGUUCUGGGAGAUGACCAAUGGGAUCAUCUUAUGCUAUGAGCUUUCCUGGAAUGACAGGUAAUGGAGAGUGAGGAGAUUUUACCUGAUAUGGUCCUGUUUGCACCGUCAGCCAGCAACCUUUCUGGGAAGCAUGCUUAUUAUGUACCAACAUAGAAGCUUGAAUAUAAGGUUCCUCAGGCCAGAUCUGACCCACUGGCAUUUAUUACAUUUUCUGCUAAAGGAGCCACUCUCAACCUGGAAGAGAGGAGAUCUGUGGCAAUCAGAUCCAGAGAGAAUGUGGUCUUCGUACAGACUGAUAAACCCACCUACAAGCCUGGACAGAAAGUGAUGUUUUGAGUUGUGUCUCUGGACGAUCAUUUGAAACCAGUUGAUGAAAUGUAUCCAGUGAUCACCCUUCAGGAUCCAGAAGGCAGUCGAAUACAACAGUGGGUGAAUGAGGAGUCUGUGGGAGGGAUUCUACAACUCUCCUUCCAGUUAAUCUCAGAGCCCAUCCUCGGAUGGUAUGAAAUCACCAUGGAGAUGCUCAAUGAGAAGAAAACAUAUCACUCCUUCUCUGUGGAAGAAUAUGUGUUACCCAAAUUUCAAAUGACUGUGGAUGCACCAGAAAAUAUCUUAGUUGUGGACUCUGAAUUCAAAGUGAAUGUCUGUGCCUUAUAUACCUAUGGUGAACCUGUGGACGGGAAGGUCCAACUUAGUGUGUGCAGAGAAUCUACGGCUUAUCAUUCAUGUGCUCAUCUUAUCAGUUCACUCUGUAAAAAUUUUACCAUUCAGUUGGGGAAAGAUGGCUGUGUCUCCAAGUUCAUUAACACAGGUGCUUUUGAGUUAAAUCGGUAAGGAUACUGGAGUUUCCUCAAAGUGCAUGCUCUUGUUACAGAGAACGGAACAGGUGUGCAGCUUACAGGCUCCAAGUACAUAUACAUAGACUCAUCAGUGGUGAAGAUUAGUUUUGAGAAUAUGGAUAUGUCCUACAAACAGGGACUCCCUUAUUUUGGCCAGAUUAAAUUGCUUGAUCCAGACAACUCUCCAAUCCCAAAUGAAGUUGUCCAGUUGCAUCUGAAGGACAAAAUCGUGGGAAACUACACCACAGAUGUAAAUGGCAUCGCUCAGUUUUUCUUGGACACAUAUACGUUUACAUACCCAAAUAUCACUUUGAAAGCAGCCUACAAGGCCAAUGAAAAUUGCCAGGCUCAUGGCUGGGUGUUGCCUCAAUACCCUCAGCCCGAGUACUUUGCAUAUCGAUUUUACUCCAAGACGAAUAGCUUCCUAAAGAUUGUCCAAGAGAUGGAAGAACUGAGAUGCAACCAGCAGAAGAGGGUGCUAGUGCACUGCAUUCUCAAUAUGGAAGACUUUGAAGACAAAACCUACACAGCAGACUUCAAUUAUUUGGUGAUUUCAAAAGGUGUAAUCAUUCUUCAUGGGCAACAGAAAAUUGAGAUCAACGAAAAUGGGAGGAAGGGCAUAUUUUCCAUUUCUAUAGACAUUAACCCUGAAUUAGCGCCCUCAGUAGAUAUGCUUGUCUAUAGCUUGCAUCCUGGAGGAGAAAUGGUCACUGAUAGCACCCAAUUCCGAAUUGAGAAAUGCUUCGAAAAUCAGGUCAACUUAAAUUUUUCUAAAGAAAAAAGUUUACCAGGAUCCAAUAUUGAUCUUCAAGUCUCGGCUGCUUCAAACUCUCUUUGUGCUCUUUGGGCUGUAGACCAGAGUGUAUUGCUACUAAGGAAUUAUGGUCAGCUGUCAGCACAAACUGUGUAUAGUCAGCUAUAUUCCAGGGAACUACAUGGCUAUUACUUCAGAGGACUUAACUUAGAAGAUGGCCUUAAAGUGCCGUGUCUUGAAGAUGAACAUAUCCUUUACAAUGGAAUUUAUUACACACCUGCAUGGGCUGACUUUGGAAAAGAUGGCUAUGACCUUGUGAAGGCAACAGGAUUAAAGAUUUUUACCAACUCUCACCUCCGGAAACCAGUAUUGUGCAAGGAUUCUAACCAUCUUGACUCUACUGAUUACAUACCCUUAGGAUCCUCAAAACAAUCGGAUUUUUCAAAGGCAAAAUGUGACUUCUUUCCGAAAUAUUACCCAACUCUCGUUCCAACUGAUUUCAGAACCAAUGUUUGGAGAUUACUGGAUUGUUGUGAAAAGAAACUCAAGGGAGACAGUGACACACCAAUUUGCUGUUAAAAGAUAUGUGCUGCCCAAGUUUGAAGUUACAGUCAAUGCACCACAAACAGUAACUAUUUCAGAUGAUGAAUUCCAAGUGGAUGUAUGUGCUAAGUACAACUUUGGCCAACCUGUGCAAGGGGAAACCCAAAUCCGGGUGUGCAGAGAGUAUUUUUCUUCAAGCAAUUGUGAGAAAAAUGAAAAUGAAAU
Molecule: long non-coding RNA, 2896 nt
Filed under: Homo sapiens (human)
Lineage: Eukaryota; Metazoa; Chordata; Mammalia; Primates; Hominidae
Description: non-protein coding lnc-CLEC2D-2:5
Source: RNAcentral